RNAcentral lists this ribosomal RNA (305 nucleotides) under uncultured bacterium. RNAcentral describes it as "bacterial SSU rRNA". It matches the Rfam family "Bacterial small subunit ribosomal RNA", at positions 333 to 633 of the family's 1533-position model. The record is from RNAcentral.
UGACCUACGGGGGGCAGCAGUGGGGAAUACUGCGCAAUGGACGAAAGUCUGACGCAGCGACGCCGCGUGAGGGAUGAAGGUUUUCGGAUCGUAAACCUCUGUCAGGAGGGAAGAAAGCGUAUGGCGCCAAUCAGCCAUGCGUUGACGGUACCUCCAAAGGAAGCGCCGGCUAACUCCGUGCCAGCAGCCGCGGUAAUACGGAGGAUGCGAGCGUUAUUCGGAUUUAUUGGGUUUAAAGGGUGCGUAGGCGGACUGGAAAGUCAGCGGUAAAAUCGAGAGGCUCAACCUCUUUCCGCCGUUGACAC